Molecule: long non-coding RNA, 1184 nt
Organism: Ictalurus punctatus (channel catfish)
Lineage: Eukaryota; Metazoa; Chordata; Actinopteri; Siluriformes; Ictaluridae
Exons: 2
Source: RefSeq, a predicted model, not a curated record
GUGUGUGUGUGUGUGUGUGUGUGAGAGAGAGAGAGAGUGUGUGUGCGAUUUUGAGCUGCUAAGAGGUUACUCUGAGACAGGAGGAGCAAGUGAGCAUGUGUGAGGGUGGCAGAGAGAGAGACAGAGAGAGAGAGAGAGAGAGAGAGAGAGAGAGAGAGAGAGAGAGAGAGAGAGAGUGAGAGAGAGAGAGAGAGAGAGAGAGCGAGCGAGCGAGGGAGGAUUUCUCCGAGGUGUGCGCUGCCGCUAGCUGGAGAACGAAUCGUGGUCCGACUCGCACGAAACAAACACUACAACGAGAGCGGAAUACUGACACGGAGCGAGAGAAAACCAGUGAGAGAAGGAGGGAAAGAGGAAAAAAGAGGGAGAGGGAGAGAGGGGAGGGACGCUGGGGACCGAGAGUGCUGUCUGCGCUGCAUAACACACACACACAUUCUCUCUCUCUCUCACACACACACAAACACACGAGGAGAUGCAGCUGUAGACACUAUUUCUCUCUCUUUUGCCAUCUCUCCAUCCGUGUGUCGUUUCGGUUUCUCUGGUCCUGAUGCGGGGAGCAUGUGGAGCAUGUUGCCUUCUCCGGCUCGCCUCACACGCCGAAGGAUAAGCAGCGUUCAGGAUGGGCACGACGGCCAUCAGCAUUGAGGAAGCCAAGGAGGAGAGGGAGGAGUCCAUCCUGGCCCUGCUGGGCAUCAUCGGCACGUUCCUCAACCUCUUCGUCAUCGUCUUCGUUUACAUCUACACCACGCUCUGAGAGGGGAAGGAGGCGGAGCCACGGAACAGGGGGGCGGGAACUGAACAAGUGGGCGAGAGCGAGGAUGACAAUCAUACAGGAAGACGUGGAGAUGGACGGGGACGAGGAGGACGAGCGCCACAGCGCCGAUCUGCGGAGAUGACAGACGGACGGAUAUGAUGGUGGGGCGGGGUUUCCUGUACUGAAAGGGGCGGGGUUUAAGAAGGUUUCAAAAUGCAAAAAAAAAAAAAAAAAAAAAACCUACCCAAACACAAAUAUAAACUAACUCAUACAGACACUGCGUUUGGAUUUGUGGGCGGGGCUUCCUGUGCAAGAAGAGAGGCGGAGUUCAAUACACCUUUAAUACACCUAUUCAUCCUGGAUAUUCCAGCGCUCGUUCUCAUUGGCUGGCUCUCGGGGACUGGAGUCUGAUUGGUCGGGAGGAUUUCCACGG